CCCAUAAAACACACAUUUGUUCUCUUGGUUAUAUAAUUUUUAAUUGCCUAUAACUGGUUGUAGUACACCAACGAAAAUGGAAUAGAAAUCUAUUGUGAAUGGAGAUUCAUAGAGACUCUCUCUAACACAUGCUUGCAGACAAUUUCAUCUCACCCGAUCUAAGUCCCAUAUAUGUUGAUUGAUCUUAUAAUUGGGAUCCUAGCUCCGGUAUUUCAUAGACCUUCGAGUGAGAACCUAGCCAAACGAGCUACAAUCUCUGACUAAACUGAGAUGUUAAUUUAAUUCUU
This is a non-coding RNA of Camelina sativa (false flax), 287 nucleotides long. The record is from RefSeq and is a predicted model, not a curated record. NCBI's taxonomy places the organism in Eukaryota, Viridiplantae, Streptophyta, Magnoliopsida, Brassicales, Brassicaceae.